GUCCACGCCCUAAACGAUGUCGACUAGGUGUUGGGGAAGGAGACUUCCUUAGUACCGCAGCUAACGCGUGAAGUCGACCGCCUGGGGAGUACGGUAGCAAGAUUAAAACUCAAAGGAAUUGACGGGGACCCGCACAAGCGGUGGAUGAUGUGGAUUAAUUCGAUGCAACGCGAAAACCUUACCUACCCUUGACAUGUACCGAAGCCCGAUGAGAGUUGGGUGUGCCCGAAAGGGAGCGGUAACACAGGUGCUGCAUGGCUGUCGU
This 265-nucleotide ribosomal RNA is filed under the name uncultured bacterium. RNAcentral describes it as "partial 16S ribosomal RNA". It matches the Rfam family "Bacterial small subunit ribosomal RNA", at positions 793 to 1055 of the family's 1533-position model. The record is from RNAcentral.